RNAcentral lists this ribosomal RNA (253 nucleotides) under uncultured bacterium. RNAcentral's name for it is "partial 16S ribosomal RNA". It matches the Rfam family "Bacterial small subunit ribosomal RNA", at positions 524 to 776 of the family's 1533-position model. The record is from RNAcentral.
GACGAACCGUGCGAACGUUGUUCGGAUUCACUGGGCUUAAAGGGCGCGUAGGCGGGUUCUCAAGUCGGGGGUGAAAGCCCACAGCUCAACUGUGGAAGUGCCUCCGAUACUGGGAAUCUUGAGGGAGGUAGGGGUGCGUGGAACUUCCGGUGGAGCGGUGAAAUGCGUAGAUAUCGGAAGGAACGCCGGUGGCGAAAGCGACGCACUGGAUCUCUUCUGACGCUGAGGCGCGAAAGUCAGGGGAGCAAACGGG